This 465-nucleotide ribosomal RNA is filed under the name uncultured Tetragenococcus sp. Its description in RNAcentral is "bacterial SSU rRNA". It matches the Rfam family "Bacterial small subunit ribosomal RNA", at positions 338 to 795 of the family's 1533-position model. The record is from RNAcentral. Lineage: Bacteria; Bacillati; Bacillota; Bacilli; Lactobacillales; Enterococcaceae.
CCUACGGGGGGCUGCAGUAGGGAAUCUUCGGCAAUGGACGCAAGUCUGACCGAGCAACGCCGCGUGAGUGAAGAAGGUUUUCGGAUCGUAAAACUCUGUUGUCAGAGAAGAACAAAGGUGAGAGGAAAUGCUCACUUUUUGACGGUAUCUGACCAGAAAGCCACGGCUAACUACGUGCCAGCAGCCGCGGUAAUACGUAGGUGGCAAGCGUUGUCCGGAUUUAUUGGGCGUAAAGCGAGCGCAGGCGGUUUCUUAAGUCUGAUGUGAAAGCCCCCGGCUCAACCGGGGAGGGUCAUUGGAAACUGGGAGACUUGAGUGCAGAAGAGGAGAGUGGAAUUCCAUGUGUAGCGGUGAAAUGCGUAGAUAUAUGGAGGAACACCAGUGGCGAAGGCGGCUCUCUGGUCUGUAACUGACGCUGAGGCUCGAAAGCGUGGGGAGCAAACAGGAUUAGAUACCCCUGUAGUC